UAAUUUUAAUAGAGACAGGGUUUCAGCGUGUUAGCCAGGAUGGUCUCGAGCUCCUGACCUUGUGAUUCGCCCGCCUCAACCUCCCAAAGUGCCUGGCCUUCAUUUUUAUUUUUGAACUUACCUGCCUCACCUCGUUAUGUCUUUAUCUUAUUUUUAAACUUACUCAGUUCACCCACUGUGGAAUUGGGAGUAUAUGGAAGUAUUCCCACCCCCAGUUUUAUAUACCGCCCCAGAGCUGACCAUUCUCGCUCAUUUCCCCGGGUCCUGGCCGACUCGAGUGUGCCUUUCCUUCCGAUCCUGCUCCACACAGAUCUGAGGGAUGCUGCCCUUUCCUUCUCCACCUGCCCCUCCCUCACAUCCAGCCCCACCAGCCUACACGUUAGCUUAAAUAGGGAGCUUUUACAUUCCCCAUGAAAGGGAAUCCAGGGACAGGCUGAGGCAAGAGACCCCCAGUGUUCAUGAGAUGCCAUCUAGAGAAAACACCGUGGUGCUGAAGGCCUAAGUCAGACCCCGGGGAGAGAGGCACCAGGGUGACUUUGGGUGGAGAGUCCUGUGCCUGUUCUACUUCUAUAAAUAUACUCAGGUCAGGCACGGUGGCUCACGCCUGUAAUCCCAGCACGUUGGGAGGCCGAGGCAGGCGGAUCAUUUGAGGUCAGGAGUUCAAGACUAGCCUGGCCAACAUGGUGAAACCCCAUCUCUACUAAAAAUACAAAAAAAUGGCUGGGCACAGUGGCUCACACCUGUAAUCCCAGCAUGUUGGGAGGCCAAGGCAGGCAGAUCAUUUGCGGUCGGGAGUUCAAGACCAGCCUGACCAACAUGGAGAAACCCCGUCUCUACUAAUAAUACAAAAAUUAGCCAGGCAUGGUGGCACAUGCCUGUAAUCCCAGCUACUCGGGAGACUGAGGCAUAAGAAUCGCUUGAACCCAGGAGGCAGAGGUUCUGGUGAGCCGAGAUCACGCCAUUGCACUCCAGCCUGGGCAACAAAAAGCAAAACUCCAUCUCAAAAAAAAAAUACAAAAAAAUGAGCUGGGCGUGGUGGCCUGCACCUGUAAUCCCAGCUACUUGGGAGGCUGAGGCAGGAGAAUCACUUGAACCCAGAAGGUGGAGGUUGCGGUGAGCAGAGACCACACCACUGCACUCCAGCCUGGGUGACAGAGUGAACCAUGUCUCUAAAUAAAUAAAUAAUAUGUUUGUCUGAAAGUGCCUUUUUAACAAAGUAUGAGAUGUGUACAUAAAGUGCACAUAGCGCAAGUGUCGCACGCAGUGGAUUUUCACACGCAGCACGUGAAAUGGGAAAACACUGGCCCGGCACGGUGGCUCACACCUGUCAUCCCAGCACUUUGGGAGGCCGAGGCGGGCGGAUCACAAGGUCAGGAGAUCGAGACCAUCCUGGCUAACACGGUAAAACCGCGUCUCUACUAAAAAUACAAAAAAUUAGCCGGGCGUGGUGGCGGGCGCCUGUAGUCCCAGCUACUUGGGAGGCUGAGGCAGGAGAAUGGCGUGAACCCGGGAGGCGGAGCUUGCAGUGAGCCAAGAUCGCGCCACUGCACUCCAGCCUGGGCGACAGAGCUAGACUCCGUCUCAAAAAAAAAAAAAAAAAGAAAUGGGAAAACAUUGAGGAUGAAGUAGCAAAUAUUUGAGAAUUCAACUUGAUUGGUGGCUGUUGCAGGUUCAUACGUGAGUGGUUACGUAGUGGGUAGUUAAACUGACAAUGACCAGCUGAAUUUUGGUGACAGGACUGCUCCUAAGGUUUGAAAUGUAGCGUAUCCUCUGAUUCACGGGCUAAGCUCUGCCACUUAGCAGGAGGAGCUCAUGAUAGAGCAGGUUGAGGGGAAAACUUUGCCCCAUAAGGGUUCUUCACUGCAAGUGAGAAGGUCUUGGCUUUGAGCCUCCAAUUUCAAUCAGACAGAAAGCAGACCAGUCGGCAGGACAGUAUAUGCCUCUGGAGAUCCGUGCUGAUGUGGGGGCCUCAGAUACAAGAUGCCUCAGGGCCCAGGCGUGACCCUCUCCUUCCCUCCUGCACGGAGAUGCUGUGAGAAUUAGACACUCCCACAGGGCCCUGUCAGACACUGAGCUAGCCUCUGGGAACCGGAAGAUAUUCAAAACACCAGCCACCCCCCACACACACAGACAAGGCGCUGGAGGGACAGCUGUGCAGCGGCAGAGCAUGAGAGGUCUUGAUCAGUUAACUCAGUGAGGUUAGGAGGCGAAUUUUUUUUUUUUUGAGAUGGAGUCUUACUUUGUCACCCAGUCAGGAGUGCAGUGGCGUGAUCUCGGCUCACUGCAACCUCCGCCUCCUGGCCUCAAGUGAUUCUUCCGCCUCAGCCUCCCGAGUAGCUGGGACUACAGGUGCGUGCCACCACACCCAGCUAAUUUUUGUAUUUUUGGUAGAGACAGUGUUUCACCACGUUGGACAGGCUGGUCUCAAUCUCUUGACCUCGUUAUCUGCCUGCCCUGGCCUCCCAAAGUGCUGGGAUUAUAGGUGUGAGCCACAAAGCCUUUUUGUUUUCAUUUUUGAGAUGGAGUCUCGCUCUGUCGCCCAGGCUGGAGUGCAGUGGCAUGAUCUCAGCUCACUGCAACCUCUGCAUCCCAGUUCAAGCAGUUCUCCGCCUCGGCCUCCUGAGUAGCUGGGAUCACAGGUGCCCGCCACCACACUUGGCUAAUUUUUUGUAUUUUUAGUAGAGAUGAGGUUUCACCGUGGUGGCCAGGCUGGUCUCAAACUCCUGACCUCAAAUGAUCUGCCUGCCUCGGCUUCCCAAAGUGCUGGGAUGACACUGAGCCACCGCGCCUGGCAAGGAGGUAACUUGAUCCAUACGUUUGCGUUUACAUGGUGCGAGGAAAGGGCACCCUUGGUAGAUGGAACAGCGUGUACAAAGGCCCGGAGGUUUAAAAUCACCACUCUUCUAGCCCUCAUACUAACUUUGCCUAUUUUGAACUUUAUAUAAAUGGAAUUAUAUUGCAUGUUCUCUUUUGUAUCUGACUUCCUUUUCUCAAUACUAUAUGAGUGGUAUCCAUGCCAUUUAAAGUAAUGGUGGAUUAACUCAAUGCUACGUCGCCUUCUAGUUGAUGGAGGGCAGGCAAGACCCACAGUGGGGCUGAGCCCCUCGAGGGUUCCUGGCUUUGCCCAGGAAACAAUUCAAGGGCAAGCUGGAAGUGAAAGUAAACAGGCCAGGCAUGGUGGGAGUUACUACCCCUUUCCAUGGCAAUGACCCCACGACCCAAAAGUUACUACCCCUUCCCUAGAAACUUUUGCCUGGGCUGCCCCUUAAUCUACAUGAAAUUAAAAGUGGGUGUAAAUGUGGCUGCAGAACUGUCCUGAGCUGCUGCUCUCAGCACACUCUGCCCAGCACACCCCGCCUGCAGGGGCCGUCGCAGAGCUGUAACCCUGCCGCUUCAAGCUGUUUUGUUUUGUUUUUCUUUCGAGACAGUCUCGCUCUGCUCUUCCAGUUUGAAUAUCACGCAGGCUGGAGCGCAGUGGCGCAAUCUCGGCUCACUGCAACCUCUGCCUCCUGGGUUCAAGCAAUUCUGCCUCAGCCACCCGAGUAGCUGGGAUUACAGGCACACGCCACCAUGCCCGGCUAAUUUUUGUAUUGUAUUAGAGACAGGGUUUCACCAUGUUGGCGAGGCUGGUCCCGAACUCCUGGCCUCAAGUGAUCUGCCCGCCGUCCGCCUCAGUGUCCCGAGGUGCUGGGAUUACAGGUGUGAGCCACCGCACCCAGCAAAAGUGCUUUCUCGAGAUGGAAUCUGCGCCUGGUGAAGAUGCUCUAAACAUUGCUGAGAUAACAAAGGAUUUAGAAUAUUCCAUAAACUUCGUUGGUACAGCAGCGAUAGGGUUCGAGAGGAUUUUCCAGUUGUGAGAGAAGGUCUGCUGUGGACAAAAUGCUACCAAACAGCAUCGCGUGCUACGGAGAAAUCUUUUGUGAAAGGAAGAAGCUCAAUGUGGCCAGCUUUAUUGUUGUCUUAUUUUAAGAAAUUGCUGGCCGGGUGUGGUGGAGAAUCACUUGAACCCAGGAGGCAGAGGUUGCAGUGAGCCGAGAUCACGCCAUUGAACUCCAGCUGGGCAUAAGAGCAAAACUCCAUCUCAAAAAAAAAAAAAAAAAGGAAGAAAUUGCCACAGCCACCUCAGCCUUCAGCCACCACCACCCUGAUCAGUCAGCAGCCACAAACAAGACCUUCCACCAGCAAAGAGAUCCCAACUUCCUCAAGCCUCAGGUGAUUGCUGGCACUUUCUAUCAGUAUCUUAGUUUUUUGUUUGUUUGUUUUUUAAUUUUUGAGACAGAGUCUCACUCUCUUGCCCAGGCUGGAAUGUAGUGGCACCAUCUCGGCUCACUGCAACCUCCGCCUCCCAGGUUCAAGCGAUUCUCUUACCUUAGCCUCCGGAGGAGCUGGGACUACAAGCACGCACCACCACACCCGGCUGAUUUUUUUCCAUUUUUAGUAGAGACGGGGUUUCACCAUGUUGGCCAGGCUGGUCUCGAACUCCUGGCCUCAGGUGAUCCGCCCACCUUGGCCUCCCACAGUGCUAGGAUUACAGGUGUGAGCCACCACCCCCAGCCAUUUUUUUUUUGAGACGAGGUCUUGCUUUGUUGCCCAGACUAGAGUGCAGUGACAUUAUCUCGGCUCACGGCAACCUCUGCCUCCCAGGCUGAAGCAAUCCUCCCACCUCUGUCUCCCUAGUAGCUGGGACCACAGGUGCACACCCCCACACCCGGCUAAUUUUUUGUAUUUUUGGUAGAGACAGGGUUUCACCAUGUUGCCCAGGCUGGUCUCCUGAGCUCAUGCAAUCUGCCCACUUGACCUCCCAAAGUGCUGGGAUUACAGGUGUGAGCCACUGUGCCCAGCCUAUUAUUAUUAUUAUUUAUUGUUUUUUUGGUCUUGAGGGAGGGUAGGGUGGUGGGAGCCCAGUUGGGGAGGGAGUGAGGAGUGGUCAAUAAAGUAUUUUAAAUUGAGGCAUAUGCAUUGUUUUGUAAACAUAAUGUUAUUGCACACCUGACUGCACUGUGGUAUAAACAUAACUUUUAUAUGCAGUGGAAAACCGAAAAAUCCCUCCGACUGGCUUUAUUGCGACAUUUGUGUUAUUGCGGUGUCUAGAACUGAACCGUGGUAACCCAGGCCCGCCUGUGCUAACUUCCAGCACUACCGAGGUUGACGCAGCUAGAUGGUUUUCUCCCCGGCUGGUUGCUGCUUCUCACCCACAGAGGCGGUGGAGCCCUUGGAACUGGGCAGAACACAGGGCUGCCUUGUCACCACUGCCUGGCUGAACCUGAAAUUGGGCCGUUUGACAGAAAGACUUGAAAGGGCCACCAGUAAAUUCUUUUUUCUUUUCAUUGAUUUUCCUCUUCUUACUUUCCUCCUCCUGAAGUUGGGGUCAUGUCCCAAGAAGACCCACAAGGCCUGGCCUGUGGGUGCACAUGUGGGGAGGGUCAGGUCUGUCGGCUGAGGAGGGCAUUGGUAGGGGACUUUGAGCAGUGCUGCUCCGGAGACACGAAUGAUGGGAUGGGAGGCUCUCCCAUAUCUGCCGAGAGCACAGCACCCCAUGACUCCUGGGAGCUUGUCAUAGAUGCUGCAGAUGAGUCCUUCCUCAGACGGGAUAUUUGCUAAUGCCUCUGCCAGCCUGGGCUUGUCUUCUCAGGGCCUUUCAAAAUGCACACACCCUUCAUUCUCAUGAUGUCCAGUGGAUCAGGUUUUCCUUUAUGUGUCAUGCUUUUAGUGUUUAAGAAUCAUUUCUCUAACCCAAGUCACACUGACAUCCUCCUUUUCAUUCUUAACGCACAUUUUACAGUUGUAGGCCUUACAUUUUGGCUUAUAAUAAGUUCUGAGGCCAGGCACAGUGCUCACACCUGUAAUCCUGGCACUUUGAGAGGCCAAGGCGGGUGGAUCACCAGAGGUCAGGAGUUUGACACAAGCCUGGCCAACAUGGUGAAACCCCG
RNAcentral lists this long non-coding RNA (5930 nucleotides) under Homo sapiens (human). Its description in RNAcentral is "HSALNT0360888". The record is from RNAcentral. Lineage: Eukaryota; Metazoa; Chordata; Mammalia; Primates; Hominidae.